UUAAAUGAUUAAUUUUGUUAAAAUCUUUGAAAGAUUGAUAUAUUGACAUUUUGUUUCUUUGAGUAAUUUGGUGACAAUGUUUGAAGGACUAUCGCAUAUACUUCAAAGGAAAAACUUGAUGGUUUUCUCCAUUCUUCCUACUAAGACUGCCACCAUAAGGCACCCUGUUACCUCUCAGAUGACUGUUUAUUUCUUAAGACAGCAAUGUAAAGAUGUAGGGUAUGAUAAUAGCAAGGCAAAUUGAAAUAGAAUAUGUAUAUUAUUAUUUCAUUGAUCCUUUGCAUGAUAUAUAUAAUACAUGUACAAGAAUGUUCUAUACCAAUUCUAAGGCAUGACAGACGUGAUCCAUAAUCAGUGGCAUCUGAUUUAUUCUAUGCAUUAUAAGGUAAAUAAAUAUAGAAUCAAGGUAACAUAGGAAAGUAAAUAUAUACACAGCAUAUUUGCAAUCAUGUAGAAGAUAUUUCCUAAUACUCCCCCUCAAGUUGGUGAGUGAAUAUCGUGAAGUCCCAACUUGUUGCGCAAUGUCACAAAUUGAUCUUUUCCCAAAGUUUUUGUAAACACAUCUGCUAGCUGGAAUUUUGUUGGCACAUAAGAAGGAUUGAUCAUCCCAGCUUGUAGUUUUUCCCGUACUAUAUGACAAUCAAUUUCAAUAUGUUUUGUACGCUCAUGAAAUACAGGAUUCGCCGCAAUGUGUAGAGCUGCCUGGUUGUCACAGAAUAAUGGUGUUGGAGCAUCUUGUGGGACUUUUAAAUCUUGUAAUAUGAACCGUAGCCAGGUCAACUCCAAGCAUGUAUUAGCCAUAGCUCGAUAUUCAGAUUCGGCUGAUGAUCUAGAGACGACAACUUGCUUCUUAGACUUCCAUGAGAUGAGAGAAUUUCCAAGGAAAAAGCAAAAUCCUGUAACAGAUUUUCUAGUGGCAUGACAACUUCCCCAAUCUGAAUCACAAAAAGCCUUUAAGGUAAGGUCAUUAGCAGAUGAAAAUAGUAAGCCCUGUCCAGGUGUGCCUUUGAUGUAUCUGAGGACUCUCAAUGCAGCAUCCCAGUGAGGCUUUCUUGGCUCAUGCAUGAAUUGACUCAAUGUUUGGACAGAAUAUACAAUGUCAGGUCUUGUGACAGUAAGGGCGAGCGCCUGUCAGUCCCGAAUCUUGCAAAAUGUCUAGAGCAUAUUUUCUUUGAGACAUGAAGAUACCUUCUUUGGAACGAGAAAACUCAAUGCCCAAAAAAUAUUUCAAAUCUCCAAGAUCUUUGAUACGGAAACGCUUGAGAAGAAACUCUUUAAGGCGUUUCAUUUCUUGAAGAUCGUUGCCCGUGAGAAGUAUGUCAUCAACAUAAAUAAGAACAAUUGUGAGUGAAGUACCUUGAGAUUUGAUGAAGAGGGAGUAGUCAGCCUUUGAUUGUUGAUAACCAGCCUUUUGAAUGGCUUCAGAAAAAGUAGAGAACCAGUUUCUUGAUGCUUGUUUGAGUCCAUAGAGUGACUUAUUGAGCCGACAUACAACGUUCUCCCCCUGUCGGCGAAGACCAGGUGGAGGCUCCAUGUACACUAACUCAUGCAAAUCGCCAUGAAGAAAGGCGUUUUGCACAUCUAAUUGGUGUAUGAACCAAUUACGAGCAGCUGCAACAGUGAGAAGACAACGAAGAGUAGUGACCUUGGCAGUAGGGGAAAAGGUUUCUUGAUAGUCAAUGCCUUCAACUUGAGUAUAUCCCUUAGCAACAAGGCGUGCCUUAUAGCGCUCUAUCGUGCCAUCAGAUUUGUACUUUAUUUUGUAUACCCAUUUGCAACCAAUGGGCUUAUGACCAGAAGGAAGAGGUACAAGGCUCCAUGUGUUAUUUUGUUCUAAUGCUUCUAAUUCUGCAUUCAUUGCAUCUUGCCAAUGUGGAUCAUGGACAGCUUGAUCAUAGGACUGUGGUUCUGUGUGGGCUGUAAUGUUAGCUAAAAAAGCACAAUGUGAAGAAGAAAUGCGUGAAUAUGAAAGGUAAUGUGAAAGAGGAUACCGAGUACCUGACCCAGAAGUUGGCUCUGAGGGAGAUUUAUUGACUUGUGUGGACAUGUGGUAGUCUUUAUGCCAUAUCGGGGGGUUCUUGUCACGGAGAGACUGCCGAACUUGGGGAAUGGAGGGAGUUGGAGUGUUUGAAGUGUGGGAAGUAGGUAGAGUUGGUUCAACUAUAGGUGAGGCAGCGGAAGAUGUUUCGGUAGUUAGGUGUGAAGGAUAAUUUGGCUCAUGUGCAGAAGGUAUACCAGUUUGUUGUGAUUGAUGAUGAGAUGGAGAAGGCCAAUCAUCAAUGGCCUCAUAUGAAGGAUGAGAUGAAGUUAGGUUGGGUUCAGAUGUGUUUGGAAUGGAAGGAAAAUUGGUUUCGCAAAAUUUGACAUCACGACUCACAAAGAAAGUCUUUGUCUCAGGAUCAUAAAUUUUAUAACCUUUUUGACCAGUAGGAUAUCCAACAAAGAUACCCCUUUUUGCACGAGGAUCAAAUUUAUGUGUAGGUUGGACAAUAGUAGCAUAACAUAAGCAACCAAACACUCUCAAGUGAUCAAAUGAUGGUGGCUUAUUGUAUAAUAAUUCAAAAGGUGAUUUGUUGGAUAACAAUAGGGAUGGCAAACGAUUUAUAAGGUAAACAGCAGUUAAUACACAUUCUCCCCAAAAUGCAAGAGGUAGAUGAGAAUGAAAUAGUAAUGCUCGUGCCACAACUAGAAUAUGACGAUGCUUGCGUUCUACAACUCCAUUUUGUUGUGGUGUGUAAACGCAAGUUCGUUGAUAUUCUAUCCCAUGAGAUUGAAAGAAUUCUCUCAUGGACAUGAAUUCAGAACCAUUGUCAACUCUAAUUGCUUUAACAGUAGCUUGAAAUUGGGUAUAAGCAAAAUUAAUGAAGGAUUUCAAAAUAUUUUGAGAAUCUGAUUUGUAUCGCAUAAGAAAUACCCAUGUGCAUCUUGUAAAAUCAUCGACAAUAGUUAAAAAAAAACGUGCCCUUGAAUGUGUGGGGACUUUAUGAGGACCCCAAAUAUCACAAUGUAAUAAAUCAAAAGGAGCAUGAGUUGAUAUAGUGCUUAAAGGAAAAGGAAAUCUAGUCUGUUUAGCCAUAGGGCAAACAUUACAAUUAUUCUCAAAAGAUAUGUUGUUUGGAGACAAUAAAGGAGAACAUAAUUUGAGGCGAGAUGUAGAUGGGUGUCCAAGACGCAUGUGCCAUAUGUUUGAGGGCUGAGAAACUUGAUGAGAGACAUGUAUUUUUUGUAAUGGAGACAUGUAAUAAAGACCACCACAUUGUUCACCCGAGCCAAUCGUCUUCCCCAUAGCCAAGUCCUGCAACACACAAAAGUCAGGAAACAAAAUGACACAACAAUUUAGAGAUUUGGUGAGCUUGCUAACAGACAUCAAGUUUAACCGAAAUGAAGGAACACACAAAACAUUUUUUAAGGUUAUAUUGGAAUUGAAUGACAUGUCUCCAAUAGAUGUGAUUGGAGCAGAAGACCCAGUAGGUAAAUUGACAGAAGGUAUGGAUGGAAAUUUUGUUUCAGAGAGAAAUGUAGAAUCAGAUGUGAUAUGAUCGGUAGCUCCACUGUCCAAAAUCCAAGGCUUGGUGAAUACAGAAUUAAUUGAGGCAUUAGAGAAAAGAGACAGACCUGCAGCAUUUGCAUGAGCAUUGCUAUUACCAGAGGUAUUGUUUGGAGACAUCAUAUUCAAUGCGCGGGCAAGUUGCUGAAGCUGUUCUGCAGAUAGCUCAAGUGCAUUUUUGGAAGAAUCUGCUGCAUUGGCAGCAGAGAAAGUCCUAGGUGCAGUGCUUCGAGGCCCUUGUUGUCGCUGUUGUGAUUGGAUGUGCUUGUUGCUUUGAGUUCCUGUGUUGUAAGUCCCAUUUUUAAUUCUGCAUCGAUCCUCUGUGUGCCCGUUUUUAUUGCAAAAAUCGCAAUAAAAUUUUAGAGUCCGACAAUUGCUAAUUGUAUGGCCAUCUCUAUUGCAGUGCUCACAGUGUUUGUCUUUGACAAAUUUGUUGGAGAGGCUGUCUGGAUGACUAUGGAUUGCAGCGGCAAUGGAGAAAUUCUCCGUUGUUUCGGAAGUCAUCUGGCGCUGUGUCUCAUCUUGAAUGACUAGAGAGUAGGCCUGUCGCACAUUGGGUAAUGGUGACAUCAUGAGAAUGUUGGUGCGAACAGUGCUGUAGGUAUCAUUAAGACCCAUGAGAAAUUGCAUCAAGCGAUCUUCUUCCCUUUGUUCAUCAUGUGCUUUCAUCUGGUUGCAAGUAGGAAGAGUGCGGUAUGUUUCUAAUUCAUCCCAAAGGCCUUUGAUUUUUGUAAAGUACGUUGAGGCAGCCAUGGUGCCUUGGGAUAUAGAGGCUAAGGACUUUUGAAUCCGAUAUAUUGCUGGAGCAUUCUUUUGUGAGAACUGAUCUUUAAAAUCUUCCCAAACCUGAUGUGCAGUCUUGGCAUGAAUGACUCCCUUGGCUAAAUUGGGUUCUACAGAAUGGGUGAGCCAUGAUAAAAUCAUGCUGUUACACCGAUUCCAUAGGGCAUGCUCUGCAGAUUGAUCUACUGCUGAUGGUGCUUUGAUGGAUCCAUUGAUAAAGCCUAUUUUGUUUUUGGCUGUGAGGGCAUGGAUCAUCGAUAUACUCCAUGAUGGGUAAUUGGUGCCAUUCAGUUUUAUUGGGACAAGCAAAUGACCAGGGUGAUCUGAAGGAUGGAUAUAGUAUGGAUUUGAGGAAUCCAUAUUAGAACUGUUGUUAUUUGAAUUGUUGCUACUGCUAUUUGGUUGUUUUUGAGGUGAAUUUUUUGAUGGUAUUUCAUUUUCUAGAUCGUGCUCUGAUGCCAUCUUAAGACAGCAAUGUAAAGAUGUAGGGUAUGAUAAUAGCAAGGCAAAUUGAAAUAGAAUAUGUAUAUUAUUAUUUCAUUGAUCCUUUGCAUGAUAUAUAUAAUACAUGUACAAGAAUGUUCUAUACCAAUUCUAAGGCAUGACAGACGUGAUCCAUAA
Long non-coding RNA from Glycine soja, 4951 nucleotides. RefSeq lists it as uncharacterized. The transcript is spliced from 2 exons. The record is from RefSeq and is a predicted model, not a curated record. Lineage: Eukaryota; Viridiplantae; Streptophyta; Magnoliopsida; Fabales; Fabaceae.